AGCAGUCGCCACGGUAAAACGGAGGGUGCAAGCGUUAAUCGGAAUUACUGGGCGUAAAGCGCACGCAGGCGGUCUGACAAGUCAGAUGUGAAAUCCCCGGGCUUAACCUGGGAACUGCAUUUGAAACUGUCAGGCUGGAGUCUUGUAGAGGGGGGUGGAAUUCCAGGUGUAGCGGUGAAAUGCGUAGAGAUCUGGAGGAAUACCGGUGGCGAAGGCGGCCCCCUGGACAAAGACUGACGCUCAGGUGCGAAAGCGUGGGGAGCAAACAGGAUUAGAUACCCCUGUAGUCCCUGUCUCUUAUAC
This 303-nucleotide ribosomal RNA is filed under the name uncultured bacterium. RNAcentral describes it as "partial 16S ribosomal RNA". It matches the Rfam family "Bacterial small subunit ribosomal RNA", at positions 507 to 807 of the family's 1533-position model. The record is from RNAcentral.